CCUAGAUCCAACUAGCACAUUAACGGGGCAAUAGACGACUUUCCCACUUGCAAGUAUGACUUGGAGGGGCAUUCAAGUGGAUUUUCCCAGUCGUAUAUGCCGGCCCAGCAGUAUAAUUGAUGUCCCUGCACACCAGAUCGCUGUGGCGCAAUGCACUCAGGGCUUCCUCCUGGACCCAUGCAUCCUGUCUCGGACGUUCCCAACGUUCACAGGUGUCUUCGGUUUCCUCUUCCCAAGGGGUAGACAGAUGAACCCAUUGAUCUUUGCUGUGACACUGACUGCCCUCAGUGCCCUGUGACCCCUCCCAAGGUUCCUGUUUGUUCCUUCGACCAUCAUCCCCUCAGCAUCUUCUCAGCAUCCUCUCAGUCACACCCUUUAAAAGCUGCCCUCCCUGGACCACUGACGUCCAGGGAUCUCAGCAAUGCCACCGCACAAUAUUAAUUAUCAACACUGAUAUGGAUUGAACAUCAAUGAUAGAUUGAGUUUUGCUGAGUCUGGAGUUAUAGCAUGGGUUUGGGUGGAUAAGUGGCGAAGGAAAAGUGGCUCUAUAUUACUGUAUGUUUUGGGUCAUCAAUAUGGUCAGUUAGUGGUGGGAUUUGUGGUGAGGGUGACAGAAUAUGUAUAGAAACUGAUUGUGGUGAAUAGUGUUUUGGGGAAAGUGUGUGUGGUGUAGUGGGCUGUGGGCAGUUUCUCUUCUAUAACUUCUGUUUCUGUUCCUUCAUAUCCUCCAUCACAGUGUUCCCUAGAUGUGUGUGUUCAUCACGAUUUGUGUACGGCCUUGUGAAUAUGCAGAUAUGUUUGUGAGAGCAUGGCUGUUUGUACAGUGCAUUCGGAAAGUAUUCAGACCCCUUCCCUUUUUCCACAUUUUGUUACGUUACAGCUUUAUUCUAAAAUGGAUUUAAAAGCAAAAACAGGUUUUUAGAAAUGUUUGUACAUUUAUUAAAAAUAAAAAACUUAUCUUAUUUACAUAAGUAUUCAGACCUUUUUCUAUGAGACUUGAAAUUGAG
This 1007-nucleotide long non-coding RNA is filed under the name Salmo salar (Atlantic salmon). Its description in RNAcentral is "lncRNA (ENSSSAG00000092947.1, ENSSSAG00000098237.1)". The record is from RNAcentral. Lineage: Eukaryota; Metazoa; Chordata; Actinopteri; Salmoniformes; Salmonidae.